CUGGAUUUAUCUCAGAGCUCCAUUAGCAGAUGCUACAGACAAGUGGGAUCUGAAAGGAUGCAGCAUUCGGAAUGGUCUCCCCAUCGUGGACAGCCACAGCAGCAGAAUGCACUGGGCAUGGUGACACCUCUGUCACAUGCUGUCUUCCCUGUCUGGGAGGCUGUCGCUCACUUGGGACUCAAGCGAGUUCUCCGCACUGUGAAGUCUUCCAGAUAUCCUUCCAGCUCCCCACUUGGUCCUGACAUUUCUCCAGCAUGCCUCUGUCACCUAUUGCUUUGCUAUGCAAUCCCAGGCGUCUAGGUGAGGUGUCAAACCCUUCGGGAAGAAGCCAUCUUGGACAUCCAGCCCAGUCUGUAGCCCCAGCCACCACCUGACUGCAAGUACAUAAGACCCCAAGCAAGAAGUGCCCAGCUGAGCCCAGUCAACCUACAGAACCAUAAGAGAUGACUGUAAGUUGUUAUUUGAAGCCACUCUGUUUGGGGGUUAUUUAUUACGAAGCACCAGAUAACUGAAACAUUCAUGAUUCCCCAGGGCUGCUGGUGCAGUUACAGUACACUCAGAUCCAAACCAUAGAUGAGGACUGUGAGCUGUUUCUUUUUAUUAAAUUAGAUUUUGUGGUAAUACACAGAUCAGGACCAGUUAAAAUCUAUAUGCAAAACUUCUGUAAUUCUUUCUGUUUUUCUUAAAUAGGAGAAAUACUAUUCUAACACCACCUAGCAUUGUAUUACAUGUUUAUUUGCCUCUUUGACUAUUGUGUGUUUGAAUAUAGGCUCAAAGAUGGCAACGAUUGUGUCUGUUUUAUUCUCCUUUGUAUCCCCAAUGUUAGCAACAGUACUUGACCUACAGUGGGUCUACAAUAAAUAUUCCUUGAAUUAAUAAACACUUGAGGAGAGAAAAGAUAAAUGUAUCAUAGAUAAAAUGUUCAUAUAAUAAAUACAGUUAGUCCAUAGAGAACCUCUCACCUUGGCUUCAAGAAUAAGAUCUGACUGUGAAGAUAUUCAUAAUGUAUUAAGUAAAAAGGCUAAAAAUCAGCUUGCAAAUCAGUAAGUGCAGCAAAAUUACAUUAAAAAUGUUUUUAAGUGUAUAUUUACGAAACAACAACAACAAAAAAGACAAUAAGUCCAAAAAGUAUUUUCAACUAAUUUUGACAAUAGUUAUCUUUGGGGGAAAAGUUCACAAAGGGAUUUUGUUUUUUCUUAGUGCC
Leptonychotes weddellii (Weddell seal) is the source of this 1204-nucleotide non-coding RNA. NCBI's taxonomy places the organism in Eukaryota, Metazoa, Chordata, Mammalia, Carnivora, Phocidae. The record is from RefSeq and is a predicted model, not a curated record.